Beta vulgaris subsp. vulgaris (sugar beet) is the source of this 2171-nucleotide RNA transcript. RefSeq lists it as uncharacterized. The transcript has 6 exons. The record is from RefSeq and is a predicted model, not a curated record. Lineage: Eukaryota; Viridiplantae; Streptophyta; Magnoliopsida; Caryophyllales; Amaranthaceae.
UCUUCACGAUUCUCUUGAUCUGCAUCAAUUUUUCUCCCAAAUUUUCAUUGCUAAUUCUUUCGUUAAUGUUAUAUUGAUUUAUUUGAUGAUUUUUUUUGGUUUAGUUGAUCUGAAAUUGAUUAAUUUUAUGGUUGCCCUGUGAACUUAGGGUUUCGUUGUUGAUUCUUUGCAGAGAACGGUGUAAUUUUGGAGAUGAACAAAGAUCGACCAUCUGCUCCUCUUGAUUUCUUCAUCUACAAUGUUGAGGAUUGCAGGCCUCCUGUUUUGUUCAUCAUUCCUCUCACCUUUGUUGAAUAUCUUAGAUCUGCCGUUUUUCAAUGGCUUCCACUACAGAACAAGCUGAACGCUAUGAUGUAGUAGUAAUUUAGCAAGGGUUGUGGCACGACAAUACUUUGGCAACCAAUCUACUUUUCAGUUGGUUUUUGGUACAACUUGAUGGAACUUCUGCAUUAGAUCAGAGAAGGAAAACAGUGGUGACUGUAUCAAGAUGUUAUUUUUCUCCUUUUCUAUUAUCUUGGGUUUUCUAUUUAACUGGCUUUUUUUUUUGGGUUGUUACUUGAGGUGUUUAAUUUUGUGUUUCCUAUCUUUUAUCUUUACAUCAGCUCCCGAAAACCUGAGCAAUUUAAUCAAUUGGGUUGCUGGAGUUCGAGAAGAGGAGAGUGACAAGAAUGGGAGUGAACUUGUCAGUGACGAUGAAUGGAGAAGGUUGGUCACUAAGGUUGGAACUUUUCUGAUACCUUUUCAGAUUAACCUUCAAUUUUAGGUAUUCUUCAUAUUUUGUAUUAUUGUUUGCAGGUUUAUGUGUUUGGUUGGUGGUAGAGAUCUGGGUUUAGUUGGUUAUGGAUUUUGGUAUGUAGAUGUUUGGUUGGAAUAUUUUUGGUAAAACCCUUAACGUUGGAUAUGUGUGCCAUAAUUCCAAUCGAUAUUAGUGUUUUCUUAUGAAUUAUAACCCUUUAAACAUAGUAUAAGCCUCUUGAACUUGAAGAAACAAUUUGUGAAUUUGUAGUAUAGACAUGAUCUGCUUCACUUUGCUCCCACGCACUCCUCACGUGAUGCACCGCCUCCUUCUCUUCUUCAUUCUUGCACCUUCUGCAGCGUUUUCACUCUUCUCUCUCUUUCUCUUCAUCUCUGGAUCUCUAGACCUUCUCGCUUUCUCUCGCUCCUCUCUCUCUCAUUUAAUCUUUUCUUCUCCCUCCUCUUCACUGCUCCUCUCCCUCUCAUUUAAUCUUCUAAUCUAUCUAAUCUAUCUCAUCUAUCUCAGCUCGAAAACGUUAGGGUUUUGGCUAUGGUUGAGCACGCAAAAUUGGUGGUGUCAUCGAAUCUUUUCUUCUCCCUCCUCUUCAGUGCUCCUCUCUCUCUCAGUUAAUCUUCUAAUCUAUCUAAUCUAUCUCAUCUAUCUCACCUCGAAAAAGUUAGGGUUUUGGCUAUGGUUGAGCACGCAAAAUUGGUGGUGUCAUCGAAUUUUCAGGGUUCGCAAAAUUCUCGAAUAAAUAUGAAACCAAGAGAUAUGAGUGUUUAUGAUUUUAAGGAAGAUGACGAAUUGACCGAAACUCUUCAGCAGUAAGAUUUCAAUUGUUUCAUGUUCAUUUUUAAAGUUUUUUUUGCUGAGUUUCUUUCAAUUUCAUGUCAACUUCUUCCUCAUUUUCUCUCUCCUCUUUCUCUGUUUUUUUUUUUUUUUUUUUUGCCAUUGCUAUGGAGUUUUCUGUUUCUCCAUUGUAACUGAGUAAUAUGCUUGCUCAACUUUCGAGGUUAUUCUUCAAUUCACCGUUUUAUUCGACCUAAUUUGCUUCAAUCGUUUCAUUACCGAAUUUCUAACUCUAUCUUUCUUUAUUUCAUUAUUCACUUCUUAUAAACCCUAAUUGCCCUAAUUUGCUCUGAUUGUUUCUCUAUUCUUCAAUCAGUUAUUGUGUCUAAUCGACAACAUCUCCCUUCUUUUCCAGCAGCGGCUUUUGGUUAUUGGCGUUAUAUUCCAAGGGGUCUGUUUUGAUUAUUAGAUGGAUGGGAGGUUCAUUUGGUGUAGUUUCUCUCUCCUCUGUGACAUAUUCUCAAUGGCAGCGAGCCUCGAGUCACCAUUGCAAGCUUCAGCAGCAACCUCAAUCGCCAAGCUAGACACCUCAGCCUUACUUCUUCUCGGCUUCCCAUCUCCAAUUCUUCUGGUAUUCCUCUUUUUU